This 468-nucleotide ribosomal RNA is filed under the name uncultured bacterium. RNAcentral describes it as "partial 16S ribosomal RNA". It matches the Rfam family "Bacterial small subunit ribosomal RNA", at positions 28 to 507 of the family's 1533-position model. The record is from RNAcentral.
GACGAACGCUGGCGGCGUGCUUAACACAUGCAAGUCGAACGGAAAGGCCCUGCUUUUGUGGGGUGCUCGAGUGGCGAACGGGUGAGUAACACGUGAGUAACCUGCCCUUGACUUUGGGAUAACUUCAGGAAACUGGGGCUAAUACCGGAUAGGAGCUCCUGCUGCAUGGUGGGGGUUGGAAAGUUUCGGCGGUUGGGGAUGGACUCGCGGCUUAUCAGCUUGUUGGUGGGGUAGUGGCUUACCAAGGCUUUGACGGGUAGCCGGCCUGGGAGGGUGACCGGCCACAUUGGGACUGAGGUACGGCCCAGACUCCUACGGGAGGCAGCAGUGGGGAGUAUUGCACAAUGGGCGGAAGCCUGAUGCAGCGACGCCGCGUGCGGGAUGACGGCCUUCGGGUUGUAAACCGCUUUCGCCUGUGACGAAGCGUGAGUGACGGUAAUGGGUAAAGAAGCACCGGCUAACUAUGUG